Molecule: ribosomal RNA, 372 nt
Filed under: uncultured bacterium
Lineage: Bacteria
Description: bacterial SSU rRNA
Rfam family: Bacterial small subunit ribosomal RNA
Source: RNAcentral
AGUGAAUAGAUACCCUGGUAGUCCACGCUGUAAACGAUGAGUGCUGGACGUUGGCGGGUUUACCUGCCGGUGUCGCAGCUAACGCGUUAAGCACUCCGCCUGGGGAGUACGGCCGCAAGGUUAAAACUCAAAGGAAUUGACGGGGGCCCGCACAAGCGGUGGAGCAUGUGGUUUAAAUUCGACGCAACGCGCAGAACCUUACCAGCCCUUGACAUGGGCGGACGGGGUUCCAGAGAUGGACUCUUUCUCGCAAGAGACCGCUACACAGGUGCUGCAUGGCUGUCGUCAGCUCGUGUCGUGACGAUGUUGGGUUAAGUCCCGUCAACGAGCGCAACCCGUCGUCUCCAGUUGCCAUCGGGUAGAGCCGGGCAC